This 233-nucleotide ribosomal RNA is filed under the name uncultured bacterium. Its description in RNAcentral is "partial 16S ribosomal RNA". It matches the Rfam family "Bacterial small subunit ribosomal RNA", at positions 524 to 753 of the family's 1533-position model. The record is from RNAcentral.
UACGUAGGGUGCAAGCGUUUAAUCGGAAUUACUGGGCGUAAAGCGUGCGUAGGUGGUUUCUUAAGUCCGUUGUGAAAGCCCUGGGCUCAACCUGGGAACUGCAGUGGAUACUGAGAGGCUAGAGUGUGUCAGAGGAUGGUGGAAUUCCCGGUGUAGCGGUGAAAUGCGUAGAGAUCGGGGAGGAACAUCAGUGGCGAAGGCGGCCAUCUGGGACAACACUGACGCUUGAGGCA